UUACAUUUCAAUAACACGUUGUUUUUAAAUUUACAAUCAGCUUCUACAUAUAUAUGACACAUGUAUGAGAUUAAUGUAUGUGGAGGAAGUGAAGACAGAAACAAAACAUGAAAAACGUAGAGAGAGAGAGAGAAGCUCAUCAUCUGAGUCAAAGACCUAGAAAGAAAAGAACAAUUUCAAAACCAAAAAUGGAAGAAAGACAUAGUAACAAGCAACUAAGACUAAUGUCCAGGACCCUUUUUGCUAGGUCCAGAAGCAAGUUUGUAGGCCAAGCUUCGUGCAAAUUGACGAGUGCUAGAGUUGUUAGAAGCAACAGCAAAUGUAGCCAUUCCAAGAGAAGAAUCUUCUCCUUUGAAAUCCUCACAACCGUCACCUACCGGUGUCUUUAACGCCUCUGGUCGAAGAACUCUUCCAUACACAAAACAAAACUGCGAUGAAACCACAAACACUGUGAUAAUCAUCACAAUCCCAAGACUACUCUUCUUCAUCUGCAUCUUAGUUUUUCCAAGCACGUACUAUUCUUUUGAGUAUUUAAUUUUUCUCUCUAAGAGCAAGAGCUAUAUAAGAAAUGUAACAGUUUGUAAAGAUUUUGCUCUUGUGUUGAGUUGGCCUAAACUAUGAGAUGCUACAUGGUUUAUAUACAGCAAGUUUCUGGCAGAGACGGUGAAGCAAUUUCCAAGUGGGGACCUUAAAAGCUGCAAGCUGA
RNAcentral lists this long non-coding RNA (706 nucleotides) under Glycine max (soybean). Its description in RNAcentral is "long non-coding RNA (GMAX_LNC003987)". The record is from RNAcentral. Lineage: Eukaryota; Viridiplantae; Streptophyta; Magnoliopsida; Fabales; Fabaceae.